AAACCAGCACCUCAAGUGGUCAGGAUGAUUAUUGGGCCUAAAGCAUCCGUAGCCUGCUCUGUAAGUUUUCGGUUAAAUCUGUACGCUCAACGUACAGGCUGCCGGGAAUACUGCAGAGCUAGGGGGUGGGAGAGGUAGACGGUACUCGGGAGGAAGUGGUAAAAUGCUUAGAUCUCUCGAUGACCACCUGUGGCGAAGGCGGUCUACCAGAACACGUCCGACGGUGAGGGAUGAAAGCUGGGGGAGCAAACCGGAUUAGAAACCCCGGUAGUCC
This 274-nucleotide ribosomal RNA is filed under the name uncultured bacterium. RNAcentral describes it as "partial 16S ribosomal RNA". It matches the Rfam family "Archaeal small subunit ribosomal RNA", at positions 473 to 747 of the family's 1478-position model. The record is from RNAcentral.